CUAUGGGAUAAAGGAGGAAGACUUCUUACUUCGGCCUCAACGACCACCAGGAGGUAGAAAACGACCCCCUAACAACAACUGAAGCAUGCGCAGAGUACCUCCACUACUUCAUGAACACGGAAGUAAAGAUGUAUAAAAAGGGACUGUUUGAACUGCUCAGCACGGCAGUGGCGGAGCGCAGACUCCCCUGUCGUCCAGCGCUGUUUUUGCUCAUAUUCUACUUGCUAUAAUUAAUAAAAUUUUAAUUGGAUUAUGAUCCGUUGUGGUCACCAUUUAUGACAUGGUGGUAGAGAAAGGGGGACAAUUUCUGCUGCAAAUUGGUGGGUUAUCACCUAUAAGGGAAGGAGAAAAGGAGCCUGAGAAGGCCAGUGGAAUGUGAUUGUACUGUGGCUUUGGAAAAGGCAAAUGGGAUCCUAUUUGCAUCUGGCAAAGGACUUCCACUGGGAAAAAGGAAAUGCUGCUGCUGUGAAAGGCCCUGGUGAGAUAAAAAAUACGGAGUGCAGUUCUGGGCACUCGGGGUGAAGAAAUACUCAUUCAAGUUGGAAGUGAGAGGCAGAAGUUGGGGAUAUGGACAGAGCCUUAUUUAUAUAAGCAGAGCCUGUUCCGUCUGACAAAGCAAAGCUUGAAACUGAAUCCAGUCACCGCCAAACUUCUGCGGGAAGACGCUCAGUUCUUGCCGUUGGGAAGCGGGGGGAGCGGAGGCACAACCACCGUGUGACUCGCAGCAGGCUGGAGCUGGGGGGGCGGCUCCAGUCCCUCGGAGCACCGCGGGUUCGAGCGCGCCUUUCUGCAGACGCAGGCGGGACGGGCACGUGCUCGCGUGCAGCCAACGCUUGACCCACCUGGACGUUUCUCCGGACGUCCCGGCCCCGCUGGCCGCUGCCGCAGCAGUCUGGAUCGGGCGCCGGGGCCGGGAGGGGGUUCCCGGCCCAUCCGGGUCCCGCGCCGCUGCUGGCAGCCGCGGCCCCUGCCGGCCUCGCCGCGCUGCCAUUGCGCCGCCGCCGCCUU
Molecule: long non-coding RNA, 1008 nt
Filed under: Strigops habroptila (Kakapo)
Lineage: Eukaryota; Metazoa; Chordata; Aves; Psittaciformes; Psittacidae
Description: lncRNA (ENSSHBG00005009328.1)
Source: RNAcentral